AUAUAUAUAAAUAUUUUGUUUUUCUUAGUCAGACUAUAGUUAUAACUAAAUGACAAUUAACUGAAUGAUAUUAUUAAGCAAUUGAAAAUUAGAAUAGGGGAGAGGAGAAACAUGACCAUGACAGAUUCGACGCAUGUAUCAGGGUAUAUUGGACAUGUCACCAACAUCAAUAGGUAUCCUCUACAUAAUUGUAGAGGGCCCAAUGAGAUGUUCACCAUGUACACCCUGACCGCGCCCGAGGAUACUGUCAGCUCAUGAAAUAAAAGGAAAAAAAAUAACAGAGUUUAAAGAAAUUAACCAUCUUACAUAAAUAUAGUCGUAAUCAAAAUUAAUAUAAUCAUUAACUAAAUCAAAAAAUGUGACCACAUGAUCACAUAACCAAAAUAAAUAAAAGACCAACACCUCUAUGCUUCAACCCUAUAAUGAAUGUUGCCGGACGAAGAUGUAGAAGAAGACCAAAAAAGAGAUGGAGGAAUAUAAUUGAAUGCGAUGUGAGGACGGCUGAUGAGAGGGUAGAUGAUGUGGGAGAUCGUGUCAAGUUUAGGAUAAGGGUGGCCGACCCUAAGUAAUUGGAUUAAAGCGAUGAUAAAGAAUAUGAAGACGCUAAGUUUUUGUACCUUAUUUAUUAUUAGAUAUUACAGCAUUAAGUAAUUCCGAACACACAAACACUAUAUACAUGGUAGAAAAGUUAAAUCAAUUAUAAGAUAAGAGUAGUGGUCGCGAUGAUGGUAAAAGAUCAACUGUCGAUAGGGAUAUAUAUUAUGGCACAUUGACUGUGAAUUGCAAAAGUGUUUAUGUGUACAGUCCGCCCUCCUGUUAGUAUUGUUGUAUGUUACUGUGUCAAUUAUAUAUAUAUAUAUAUAUAUAUAUAUAUAGUAAAAGGUACAGUGAUGUUAUGGGAGACAGAGAUAUAGGCACAUGCAAAUGUGAUCGUAUCAAUAUAAAAGAUAAAUUUAAAUAUUAUGCUAUAAAUUCCAUUAAAUUUUACAAAAUUAAUCACUUAAAAUAUCCUACACAUGAUUUUUAAAAUUUCGUAUUAACAAAUGUAAUAAGAUAUGAUAGAAACUUUUUACUUUAAACACAUUUUUAUAUUUUAAUUAUGUUUUGAGAAAACUUAUGUAACAUGAAAUUUUAAUUACCCUCUAUUUAAGUUAUGCAUAUUUUAUAGAUAGAAAAAGUUUAAGCACUUUCAAAAUUUUGAAUUUUUUGGCUAAAGUUAAAAAGACAGGCGACGACAAAAUAGUGGAAAAACUUGAUAUAAAUGAGGUUGAAAUAAUCUCAAAUUUAUUCAGUAAUCUUGACACAGACAACGAUGGCUUCAUAACUAAGGAACAAUGCAAUACAUUGGUUGAUUCUAUUUUCUAUUGUGUAUAUACUGGAAAUGUAAAAAAAGUGGAUAUAAAUGAGGUUCAAAGAAUGUCAAAUGAAUUCCAAAAUCUUGACAUUGACAACGAUAGCAUGGUAGUAACACUGAACGAAAAUAGAAAUGUAAAUCUCAAAAAGUCUUUAGUUGAUAUGAAGAAAGAAUUAAAGGACGAAAAUAAAAUAUUUUUCAAAUUCAGUGAUGUAUUGAUAAAAGUAUUAUUCUACAAGGCCCAAUUUAAGAAUACCGACUUUGGUGAAUGUCAAUACCUUCAUUAUACACGACGUAUAAUUUCAAAAUGUCAUUUUCCAAAUUCUAUAAAUGAUAUAAAAAUGUAUUACACAGAGAAAUGUUAUGAUUUUGUUUCAUCUUCCAAAUAAUCUAUUUUUUCUAGUUAUUACAUAAAAUAUUCUAAAAUUAUAA
Molecule: RNA transcript, 1786 nt
Organism: Daktulosphaira vitifoliae (grape phylloxera)
Lineage: Eukaryota; Metazoa; Arthropoda; Insecta; Hemiptera; Phylloxeridae
Exons: 5
Source: RefSeq, a predicted model, not a curated record